CCUUGAUGACGACUGGCGCACGGGUGAGUAACGCGUAUCCAACCUUCCCAUAACUACGGGAUAACCCGUUGAAAGACGGCCUAAUACCGUAUGACANCGUUUGCUGACAUCAAAUAACGAUUAAAGGUUUAGCGGUUAUGGAUGGGGAUGCGUCUGAUUAGCUUGUUGGCGGGUAACGGCCCACCAAGGCUACGAUCAGUAGGGGGUUCUGAGAGGAAGGUCCCCCACAUUGGAACUGAGACACGGUCCAAACUCCUACGGGAGGCAGCAGCC
Molecule: ribosomal RNA, 273 nt
Filed under: uncultured Prevotella sp.
Lineage: Bacteria; Pseudomonadati; Bacteroidota; Bacteroidia; Bacteroidales; Prevotellaceae
Description: partial 16S ribosomal RNA
Rfam family: Bacterial small subunit ribosomal RNA
Source: RNAcentral